AUGCCCGAUCCACCUGUACUUGGAGCUCCACCUCGCACUGGGCUCCCACUAGCAUCUUUCAUGGUAGAUGGCUUCUCUUUGCACAAGAUGCAAAGAGAGCAUCGAUCCAUCCUUCAUGGUUGAUCUCUAUCUUGAUUGUGCCUAUCUUUUCUAUCUUCUUCAAUCUUGAUCAACACCAUCGCAAUUUGAGCAAUCGCACACUCUGGUACCAUCUGGCUCUGAUACC
Molecule: long non-coding RNA, 226 nt
Filed under: Elaeis guineensis (African oil palm)
Lineage: Eukaryota; Viridiplantae; Streptophyta; Magnoliopsida; Arecales; Arecaceae
Description: long non-coding RNA (EGUI_LNC047724)
Source: RNAcentral